Molecule: ribosomal RNA, 492 nt
Filed under: uncultured bacterium
Lineage: Bacteria
Description: partial 16S ribosomal RNA
Rfam family: Bacterial small subunit ribosomal RNA
Source: RNAcentral
AGUGAACGCUGGCGGUAGGCCUAACACAUGCAAGUCGAACGGCAGCACAGUAAGAGCUUGCUCUUACGGGUGGCGAGUGGCGGACGGGCGAGGAAUACAUCGGAAUCUACUUUUUCGUGGGGGAUAACGUAGGGAAACUUACGCUAAUACCGCAUACGACCUACGGGUGAAAGCAGGGGAUCUUCGGACCUUGCGCGAUUGAAUGAGCCGAUGUCGGAUUAGCUAGUUGGCGGGGUAAAGGCCCACCAAGGCGACGAUCCGUAGCUGGUCUGCGAGGAUGAUCAGCCACACUGGAACUGAGACACGGUCCAGACUCCUACGGGAGGCAGCAGUGGGGAAUAUUGGACAAUGGGCGCAAGCCUGAUCCAGCCAUACCGCGUGGGUGAAGAAGGCCUUCGGGUUGUAAAGCCCUUUUGUUGGGAAAGAAAAGCAGCAGGUUAAUACCCCGCUGUUCUGACGGUACCCAAAGAAUAAGCACCGGCUAACUUCGUG